GGCUUCGCGAUUGAGUGAAACUGA
Molecule: non-coding RNA, 24 nt
Filed under: Arabidopsis thaliana (thale cress)
Lineage: Eukaryota; Viridiplantae; Streptophyta; Magnoliopsida; Brassicales; Brassicaceae
Source: RNAcentral